Long non-coding RNA from Tympanuchus pallidicinctus (lesser prairie-chicken), 1977 nucleotides. RefSeq lists it as uncharacterized. NCBI's taxonomy places the organism in Eukaryota, Metazoa, Chordata, Aves, Galliformes, Phasianidae. The record is from RefSeq and is a predicted model, not a curated record. The transcript is spliced from 2 exons.
UUUAGUAGAACAUAGGGACAGCACUGGCUUCGGUCAGGAAAUGGCACAGCUUGGCAUUUUAAGUAGGUAAAGUCAGUAUAGAUGAUGCAGAUUGUCAAGCCCAGCUGUGUAAGCUCUGUGUAAUAUGACUUCGUAGUACAUGCUUACCCAUUCUAGCAGUAUACAUCCCUAGAAUGUUUGAUCUUCAACACAGCAACGGGGCUGAAAGGCUGACGCCCAACUGAUUUGAUUCUUACAGUUUGAUUUUAGUCACCUGGCUCAGAGACCAGUCUGUUCUCGAUACUCAAAAUUCCUGUGGCAUCUCCUGCCCUUACAGAGAUGGGACUCUUCAAUUUCAGCACUGGAUAAGGGCACGUGCAUUCAGGCUGCCAGGGCUGGUGUGCUUAGAGGACAUGGAAAACCUCACUUUGCUGACAUGAAUAUAAAGGUUGUUGGAAAGCUAAGUGCCUAUCACCCACCUGCAGAGAGCAGGUCACUGUGAGCUCUGAUGAUCUCAGCAGGAAAUGGAGUGGGAGAAAAGAGGAAGGAGUGUUUUUAGUUCUUUUUCUUAUCUCUCUGUUCUCCUACUUUCCUUUAUCUCCAGGCCCUGUUUGUUUUUCCUAGUUGCAUGCAAUAACUCCCCCAGUCUGUUGUGUUUUCCCCCUGAGCCCUCCAGGUGUGAAUGGAAAACGUAAGCACCUGCUGAACUGACUGGCAAGAAGGAAGCAAGGAGGGGAGCUUAUCUCUACUCAGCAAAAGCUUUUUUUCAACAGUGCUCAUUUUACUUCUGUGAUGUGAUUGAUUGAGAACUUCAUCUGGCUCUUAAGGAUGCAUUUCCUUUGUCUUCAAAAGUCCAGAAGGAGAUCUCAGCUCCCCAGGGCCAUGAUCAGGGCAGGGACAAGUUUUCUUACAGUCUCCAGAAGGUCUCAUCUGGAGUCUUCACUAUCUGACUGAUUCGCCACUGAGAACUCCUACAGAGGGAAAUACUUUUCCCAACAAAAGUGCAAGCGGUUGCAGAAAGCCUAAAACCUGCAGAAGAGAAUCAUUCAUCUGGCUUUUCAGGGUCACUGGAUAAGCUGACAGACGGUGUGCUUUUCUGAGUGUUUUGCUCCAAUUUCCCCUCUCCCUUCCCAGCCCAUGGGGUGUAUUCACGUCACUGCCUCUCUCCUGGACUGUAAUGACUGAUGAGGAAAAGCCAACAGCAUCUCUGUCAGAGCUCCCUUCUGUUUGCUCACAAGCAAGGGUGAGGUGAAGAGCCACCCUGGAAAUGUUCUCCUCUGUUCUCAUCACCCAAUCAGUCUUUGAGAAUCAAGGCAUGGGUAUUUUGCUCUGUGAUCCCUCUGCUCCUUUAAUGGAGACAAAAAUGCAGAGGGCUUUCUAAUGGUGUGUUUUUGGGCUGCUCAAACUAAUGCCAAGAGGGAGAAGGGUCUUGAAGUCCAACUGGUCCCAUUUUCCCCUUGUUUCUGGAUAGCUUGAUUCUCUAUGGCCUUAGUCUGUUCAUGAUAUUGAAAUUGGAUGGGCUGUUCUCUGCAAAAGAUUCUCAGUCAUCUGAUGAAAAAAAUCUCCUAAUGCAAAACAUUUGUUGGUUUUUCUCUUUAUAUUAAUAGAGGAACAUCCAGGAGGAGUGGGCAGGGUGUGAAGAACCAGAACAAGGCAGGAGGAUGGAUGAAGCAAUGAGAUACCACAGCUCACUACCAGGCACAUUUGUGAUAGUAAAGCUCAGAAAAAGACAGUGACACUUAUUUAUUCUUUCCCAUAUCUCAUUCUAGAGCUAUUUUCUCUUCUCCUUUUGAAAAGCCUGCUGAGACAGGGCCUUUGUAUUCUUCUCCGUUGUGUCUUGAGGACUGUCAUUGGAGAGCACCGGUUCCUUUGGGUCAUAAACGUCUUCCUUUCUUUUGAAUAUUCCUGAAAUGAAAGAAUCUAUUUAUUUUACUGUAGUAGAAUACACCAGUGGUGUAUUAACAAAAAAAAAUUAAUAAUAAUAAUUAAAAAAUAGAA